RNAcentral lists this ribosomal RNA (253 nucleotides) under uncultured bacterium. RNAcentral's name for it is "partial 16S ribosomal RNA". It matches the Rfam family "Bacterial small subunit ribosomal RNA", at positions 524 to 776 of the family's 1533-position model. The record is from RNAcentral.
UACGUAGGCAGCGAGCGUUGUUCGGAGUUACUGGGCGUAAAGCGUGCGUAGGCGGUGCCAUAAGUCUGUUGUGAAAUCUCCCGGCUUAACUGGGGGGGUGCGGUGGAAACUGUGGUGCUGGAGUGUGGGAGAGGUAGGCGGAAUUCCUGGUGUAGCGGUGAAAUGCGUAGAUAUCAGGAGGAACACCUGUGGUGUAGACGGCUUACUGGACCAUGACUGACGCUGAGGCACGAAAGCGUGGGGAGCAAACAGG